Molecule: ribosomal RNA, 449 nt
Filed under: uncultured bacterium
Lineage: Bacteria
Description: partial 16S ribosomal RNA
Rfam family: Bacterial small subunit ribosomal RNA
Source: RNAcentral
AGCGAACGCUGGCGGCAGGCCUAACACAUGCAAGUCGAACGGACCCUUCGGGGUUAGUGGCGGACGGGUGAGUAACACGUGGGAACGUGCCUUUAGGUUCGGAAUAGCUCCUGGAAACGGGUGGUAAUGCCGAAUGUGCCCUUCGGGGGAAAGAUUUAUCGCCUUUAGAGCGGCCCGCGUCUGAUUAGCUAGUUGGUGAGGUAAUGGCUCACCAAGGCGACGAUCAGUAGCUGGUCUGAGAGGAUGACCAGCCACACUGGGACUGAGACACGGCCCAGACUCCUACGGGAGGCAGCAGUGGGGAAUCUUGUGCAAUGGGCGAAAGCCUGACGCAGCCAUGCCGCGUGAAUGAUGAAGGUCUUAGGAUUGUAAAAUUCUUUCACCGGGGACGAUAAUGACGGUACCCGGAGAAGAAGCCCCGGCUAACUUCGUGCCAGCCGCCGCCGUAA